UCGUAACAAGGUUUCCGUAGGUGAACCUGCGGAAGGAUCAUUGACACACAUCCUAACCGAUGCUUGUGCCAACAAGCAGACCCAGCGAACCAUUCUCCUAUCACUUGAGGGGCUGCAUCGCGAGGUGCAGCUGUCGGCGGUCGGGCCCUUGCUUCAGGGGCCGGAGUCCUUGCUGGGUUCACCGUUGCGGGUGAGCACCGGCCGUCCGACGGGGGCCGCUCUUGGGCCUCGCACACGGGAGAGUGCGGGGGCGGCGUUUCCCACUCCAGCUGUCCCUUCCGGGGCAGUUGCGCAACCAACCAAACACUAUGCAAAAACCGACUGAAGACCGAUCCUUUGCGGGCGCCUUCGGGAGCCCUGCCUCGGAUCAAAACAAACUAAAGACAACUCUCAACAACGGAUAUCUUGGCUCUCGCAACGAUGAAGAACGCAGCGAAAUGCGAUACGUAGUGUGAAUUGCAGAAUUCCGUGAAUCAUCGAAUCUUUGAACGCAUAUUGCGCCCGCGGCCUCGGCCAAGGGCAUGCCUGCCUGAGCGUCAUUAUAACACCUCACAACCCUUUUAGGGUAGUGGAUCUGGCCGUCCGGACUCUCGAGCCUGGUCGGCUGAAAGGCAGAUGCAAAGCCAGCAGCCCAUUCAACGGCAAGGCGUGGUAGACCGCAUCGCGGGCGAUCGUCGUGCCGGGGCUGCCUUUUGGCCUUCGCAUUAGCAGGAACCGCCGCUCCCGACGGACUUCGGUCCGAAAGGAGCCGGCCUUGACCCAUUGACCUCAGAUCAGACAAGAUUACCCGCCGAAUUUAAGCAUAUUACUA
This 811-nucleotide ribosomal RNA is filed under the name Klebsormidium nitens. RNAcentral's name for it is "eukaryotic LSU rRNA". The stretch from base 386 to 539 matches the Rfam family "5.8S ribosomal RNA". The record is from RNAcentral. Lineage: Eukaryota; Viridiplantae; Streptophyta; Klebsormidiophyceae; Klebsormidiales; Klebsormidiaceae.